CAUGUCUUUUUGAUAUUAAUAUAAGGUCUAGUCUGCUCCAUGAUGUGUUAAAUAGCUGCAGUAUUUAUGACUGUACUAAGGUAGCAUAGUAAAUAGUCUUUUAAUUAGAGACUAGAAUGAAAGAUUGGACGAGGGAGAUACUUUCUUUAUUUAAAUAAAUUUUAACUUAACUUUUCAGUAAGAAGGCUGAAAUUUUUUAAAAAGACAAGAAGACCCUAUAGAGUUUUAUUAUUUAUUAUAAUAUAUUUAGUUUAGUAUGUAUUAAUUUAUAUUGUAUUAAUUAAUUUGGUUGGGGCGAUUUUUAAAUUGGUUAAACUUUUUUAAUUAAUGAUCACUAAUUUUUGAUUUAUUUAUCUAGAUUUUUACAAUUAAAAUAAAUUACCUUAGGGAUAACAGCGUAAUUUAUUUUUGAAGUUCUUAUUUAAAAAUAUGUUUGCGACCUCGAUGUUGGAUUAAAAUAAAUUAUUAGUGUAGAAGCUAAUUAAUUAAGUCUGUUCGACUUUUAAAAUUUUACAUGAUCUGAGU
RNAcentral lists this ribosomal RNA (525 nucleotides) under Lycocerus sp. UPOL 000M11. Its description in RNAcentral is "partial 16S ribosomal RNA". It matches the Rfam family "Bacterial large subunit ribosomal RNA", at positions 1816 to 2610 of the family's 2925-position model. The record is from RNAcentral. Lineage: Eukaryota; Metazoa; Arthropoda; Insecta; Coleoptera; Cantharidae.